UGGGGAAUAUUGCACAAUGGGCGCAAGCCUGAUGCAGCCAUGCCGCGUGUGUGAAGAAGGUCUUCGGAUUGUAAAGCACUUUAAGUUGGGAGGAAGGGCAUUAACCUAAUACGUUAGUGUUUUGACGUUACCGACAGAAUAAGCACCGGCUAACUCUGUGCCAGCAGCCGCGGUAAUACAGAGGGUGCAAGCGUUAAUAGGAAUUACUGGGCGUAAAGCGCGCGUAGGUGGUUUGUUAAGUUGGAUGUGAAAUCCCCGGGCUCAACCUGGGAACUGCAUUCAAAACUGACUGACUAGAGUAUGGUAGAGGGUGGUGGAAUUUCCUGUGUAGCGGUGAAAUGCGUAGAUAUAGGAAGGAACACCAGUGGCGAAGGCGACCACCUGGACUAAUACUGACACUGAGGUGCGAAAGCGUGGGGAGCAAACA
RNAcentral lists this ribosomal RNA (427 nucleotides) under uncultured bacterium. RNAcentral's name for it is "partial 16S ribosomal RNA". It matches the Rfam family "Bacterial small subunit ribosomal RNA", at positions 355 to 774 of the family's 1533-position model. The record is from RNAcentral.